GGUUAAGGUGAGUUUAUGGGUUUAGUAUGAUGGGAGGCUAACACAUUCUUUCUCCAUCUCAUUACAGAUAAAACAAAUUAUGAACUGAAUUGCUACUAUCUGACCCAUUUCCCCCUUUUCUGGCUAGCCACUGAAAAGCUUUAUUUGACAUUCAUUUUCUAUUGUUGUUGUUUGUUCCAGUUAAUCGAUGAUUACAGGUGAUGACCCUCUCAGCCAUGAGUUCCUGUAAGCUGUUAGUUGUUGCUCUUUUUGCUGCCUUCCUUAUCUCUUUAGGAACCGGUCUGAAUUUAUCUGCCAGAGUCUGUUGGCAAAAAGGAGGAAGAUGCCACCGGGCUGGUCAAUGUUACUACAAUGAAAUUGAGAUUGGAACGUGUUACCAUUUCCGGUUGAAAUGUUGCCGAGAUAAAAGCCAAGAAGAAACACCAACAUAAAUGUUGCAAAAUUAUGAACUAGAAUAUCUGAAGCAAUGCAAUAUUUCAGUUUUCAUUUAAUGCUUCUUCAUGCUCAGCAGUUCAGUGACGAAACAGGACAGUUAUAUGGACGGUGUACUAAUCAUUUAUUCCAAUACUGCUAGAAAAUUAUCCCUGCUCCACACUUUAAAAAAUUGUAUAGUUUUUCCAAACUGUGGAUUUAUUAUUGAACCCUGGCAUAAGUAUGGAGCAUGUUGAAACACGAAGGUUGCUUUAGCAAUUAAACCAUGUAAUUUAGCCUA
Molecule: long non-coding RNA, 712 nt
Organism: Pantherophis guttatus
Lineage: Eukaryota; Metazoa; Chordata; Lepidosauria; Squamata; Colubridae
Source: RefSeq, a predicted model, not a curated record